GAUGAACGCUGGCGGCGUGCCUAAUACAUGCAAGUCGAGCGAACGGACGAGAAGCUUGCUUCUCUGAUGUUAGCGGCGGACGGGUGAGUAACACGUGGAUAACCUACCUAUAAGACUGGGAUAACUUCGGGAAACCGGAGCUAAUACCGGAUAAUAUUUUGAACCGCAUGGUUCAAAAGUAAAAGACGGUCUUGCUGUCACUUAUAGAUGGAUCCGCGCUGCAUUAGCUAGUUGGUAAGGUAACGGCUUACCAAGGCAACGAUGCAUAGCCGACCUGAGAGGGUGAUCGGACACACUGGAACUGAGACACGGUCCAGACUCCUACGGGAGGCAGCGAUAGGGAAGCUUCCGCAAUGGGCGAAAGCCUGACGGAGCAACGCCGCGUGAGUGAUGAAGGUCUUCGGAUCGUAAAACUCUGUUAUUAGGGAAGAACAUAUGUGUAAGUAACUGUGCACAUCUUGACGGUACCUAAUCAGAAAGCCACGGCUAACUACGUG
RNAcentral lists this ribosomal RNA (497 nucleotides) under uncultured bacterium. Its description in RNAcentral is "partial 16S ribosomal RNA". It matches the Rfam family "Bacterial small subunit ribosomal RNA", at positions 28 to 507 of the family's 1533-position model. The record is from RNAcentral.